CCUACGGGUGGCGGCAGUGGGGAAUAUUGGGCAAUGGGCGCAAGCCUGACCCAGCAACGCCGCGUGAAGGAAGAAGGCUUUCGGGUUGUAAACUUCUUUUGACAGGGAAGAGCAGAAGACGGCACCUGUCGAAUAAGCCACGGCUAACUACGGGCCAGCAGCCGCGGUAAUACGUAGGGGGCAAGCGUUGUCCGGAUUUACUGGGUGUAAAGGGCGUGUAGCCGGGCUGACAAGUCAGAUGUGAAAUCCGGGGGCUCAACCCCCGAACUGCAUUUGAAACUGUUGGUCUUGAGUAUCGGAGAGGCAAGCGGAAUUCCUAGUGUAGCGGUGAAAUGCGUAGAUAUUAGGAGGAACACCAGUGGCGAAGGCGGCUUGCUGGACAGUAACUGACGUUGAGGCUCGAAAGCGUGGGGAGCAAACAGGAUUAGAUACCCUUGUAGUC
Molecule: ribosomal RNA, 442 nt
Filed under: uncultured bacterium
Lineage: Bacteria
Description: partial 16S ribosomal RNA
Rfam family: Bacterial small subunit ribosomal RNA
Source: RNAcentral